RNAcentral lists this long non-coding RNA (308 nucleotides) under Brassica napus (rape). RNAcentral describes it as "long non-coding RNA (BNAP_LNC022449)". The record is from RNAcentral. Lineage: Eukaryota; Viridiplantae; Streptophyta; Magnoliopsida; Brassicales; Brassicaceae.
CUCAGGAAUCAUGUUGGUGGUAUUCUCGUCAUGAGUGAUUGUUGUCUGAGUUGUGGUCAGGGGAUGUGUGGACAGUGGUGUGGUUGUGGUCAAUAGGGUCGUGGACAGUUGGUGUGUGGACAGUGGUGUGGUUGUGGUCAAUAGGGUCAUGAUCGAUUGGUGCUUCCUGUCCAACCUGAUGAGAUGUCGCGGGCUUCUUGUUACGGGAUAUCAGUGUAUGGAAAGAUGUUUGCCUUGGAUGAGAUUUCUUCUUAUUUAUUUUUCAAGAGUUUGUGCAGCUGCUUCAUCUGCUUCAUCUGCUUUUGAAG